Molecule: ribosomal RNA, 299 nt
Filed under: uncultured bacterium
Lineage: Bacteria
Description: partial 16S ribosomal RNA
Rfam family: Bacterial small subunit ribosomal RNA
Source: RNAcentral
GUGCCAGCAGCCGCGGUAAUACAGAGGGUGCGAGCGUUAAUCGGAAUUACUGGGCGUAAAGCGCGCGUAGACGGUUUUGUAAGUCAGAUGUGAAAUCCCCGGGCUCAACCUGGGAACUGCAUUUGAAACUGCAUGGCUAGAGUACGGUAGAGGGAAGUGGAAUUUCCGGUGUAGCGGUGAAAUGCGUAGAUAUCGGAAGGAACACCAGUGGCGAAAGCGACUUCCUGGACCAGUACUGACGUUCAUGUGCGAAAGCGUGGGGAGCAAACAGGAUUAGAUACCCUGGUAGUCCACGCCAU